This 239-nucleotide ribosomal RNA is filed under the name uncultured Lactobacillus sp. RNAcentral describes it as "partial 16S ribosomal RNA". It matches the Rfam family "Bacterial small subunit ribosomal RNA", at positions 123 to 356 of the family's 1533-position model. The record is from RNAcentral. Lineage: Bacteria; Bacillati; Bacillota; Bacilli; Lactobacillales; Lactobacillaceae.
AACCUGCCCAAGAGAUCGGGAUAACACCUGGAAACAGAUGCUAAUACCGGAUAACAACAGAUGAUGCCUAUCAACUGUUUAAAAGAUGGUUCUGCCAUCACUCUUGGAUGGACCCGCGGUGCAUUAGCUAGUUGGUAGGGUAACGGCCUACCAAGGCGAUGAUGCAUAGCCGAGUUGAGAGACUGAUCGGCCACAUUGGGACUGAGACACGGCCCAAACUCCUACGGGAGGCAGCAGCG